Molecule: ribosomal RNA, 497 nt
Filed under: uncultured bacterium
Lineage: Bacteria
Description: partial 16S ribosomal RNA
Rfam family: Bacterial small subunit ribosomal RNA
Source: RNAcentral
GAUGAACGCUGGCGGCGUGCCUAAUACAUGCAAGUCGAGCGAACGGACGCGAAGCUUGCUUCUCUGAUGUUAGCGGCGGACGGGUGAGUAACACGUGUAUAACCUACCUAUCAGUCUGGGAUAACUUCGGGAAACCGGCGCUAAUCCCGGAUAAUAUUUUGAACCGCAUGGUUCAAAAGUGAAAGACGGCCUUGCUGUCACUUAUAGAUGGAUCCGCGCUGCAUUAGCUAGUUGUUAAGGUCACGGCUUACCAAGGCAACGAUGCAUAGCCGAACUGAGAGGGUGAUCGGCCGCACUGGAAGUGAGACACGGACCAGGCUCCUACGGGAGGCAGCAGAAGGGAAUGUUCCGCAAUGGGCGAAAGCCUGACGGAGCAACGCCGCGUGAGUGAUGAAGGUCUCCGGAUCGUAAAACUCUGUUAUUAGGGAAGAACAUAUGUGUAAGUAACUGUGCACAUCUUGACGGUACCUAAUCAGAAAGCCACGGCUAACUACGUG